RNAcentral lists this RNase P RNA (319 nucleotides) under Candidatus Omnitrophota bacterium. RNAcentral describes it as "Candidatus Omnitrophica bacterium RNase P RNA component class A". It matches the Rfam family "Bacterial RNase P class A". From Rfam's summary of the family: Ribonuclease P (RNase P) is a ubiquitous endoribonuclease, found in archaea, bacteria and eukarya as well as chloroplasts and mitochondria. The record is from RNAcentral. Lineage: Bacteria; Pseudomonadati; Candidatus Omnitrophota.
UUUUUCUUCCGGAUGACCGCGCGCCUACGGGCGGGAGGAAAGUCCGGGCUUCGAGGGCAGCGUAGCGGGUAACACCCGUCCGGCGCAAGCCGAGGAUUAGAGCCACAGAGACGAGUCCGCAGGAUUCAACUCCUGCGGGGUGAAACGCGGCAAUCUCUACGUGAAGAAAGGCCAAAUAGGAUGAGGUUUGUGAAGCGGCCCGCUUACGUCUCCGGACGCCUCAUCGGGUAGGCCGCAUGAGAUUUCGGGCGACCGGAAUCCAAGAGAGAUGGUCAUCGCCCCAUGGGCACAGAACCCGGCUUAUAGGGAGAAAAAAGGC